UUUACCAAAUUUCCAGCCGGACAAAUGGUAAAGUACAAAUUAAAUAAUAAUAAUAAUAAUAAUAAUAAAACUUACCAUUGGGGAGCUGAAGGUACUUGUUUAGUUUAGAAAUUUAGCUGUGUCUGGCAAUAAAAACGAACUGAUCGCACGCUCGAUGGCCGCUGACCAUUGAUAUUGAGCCGAUCGGAGGAUGCUCGAUCUUCGAUUUCAUCAGCGAUUAGCACGAGCUGUAAUUGGAAAAUAAUAUCAUUUAGGAUUCAAUAAAAUCGUCGAAAGUAUUAGUAGAGUACAUUUGUUGACAGAAAGUAAGACAGAAAUAUUUUGGCAAUUGUUUGAAAUGCUCAAAGUUUUCGCCGACUAGUGGUAAAAUCGAAGGAUAUUUGCGUAGUUGAGAAAAGGUAACGUACCUUUUCAAACGGUUAUGCCCAUGCCAGUCGACAAAGACAUAAAAGGCAAACGGAACACCGAUGCUGGCAAAAUUGUCGGAAACACCCGGGAAAUGGCAGUCUUGAGUCUAGAGUCCAGUCGAAUUCGCCUAGAACAAUACAAUUUGCAGGUCAACGGGAGAAAGUCUUUCGCAAUUGUUGUUUGAAAUAAAUCAGCUUGGCUUCAUUAAGCGACAGGAAUAAGUGACAAGCCUGAGCAAGAAAAUGAACGCGUCUACGACAGAAAACAUAAAAAUGCGACAGGGUAUCAAAAUCGACGAUACGUGAUGAUCGGAUACGUGAUUCGGACGUCGCACCGGGAGUAGAUAAGGAAUUGGUACCGAAAUUUGAAAGCCCCUACGUUAUUAAAAA
This is a long non-coding RNA of Bombus terrestris (buff-tailed bumblebee), 797 nucleotides long. RefSeq lists it as uncharacterized. NCBI's taxonomy places the organism in Eukaryota, Metazoa, Arthropoda, Insecta, Hymenoptera, Apidae. The record is from RefSeq and is a predicted model, not a curated record. The transcript has 2 exons.